AUCCCUCCUGCCGUCCCAGGAAUCUUGUUUUUGUCUGGUGGACAAUCUGAAGUUGAGGCAACUCUUAACUUGAACGCCAUGAACCAAAGUCCCAACCCAUGGCACGUGUCGUUCUCAUACGCCAGAGCCCUUCAGAACACAUGCCUCAAGACUUGGAGUGGAAGGCCAGAAAAUGUGAAGGCAGCUCAGGAUGCCUUGCUUGUUAGAGCAAAGGCCAACUCUCUUGCCCAGCUAGGGAAAUACACCGGUGAAGGUGAGUCCGAUGAGGCCAAGAAGGGAAUGUUCGUGAAGGGAUACGUCUAUUAAGUGUCUACCAAAAUCUAUAGAUAUUUGAUGAUGAAGCAUGUAAUGUAGCCAAAUCAAACUGCAUAAAUGCUUAUAGCUGCUCCUCAAGACUGUUUUGUUCAUAUACCGUGUGCUUUUAGCAAUUUAUUACAUCCAUCCUUCUCUGUUGGUUU
RNAcentral lists this unclassified non-coding RNA (458 nucleotides) under Hevea brasiliensis (rubber tree). Lineage: Eukaryota; Viridiplantae; Streptophyta; Magnoliopsida; Malpighiales; Euphorbiaceae. The record is from RNAcentral.